This 422-nucleotide ribosomal RNA is filed under the name bacterium. RNAcentral's name for it is "partial 16S ribosomal RNA". It matches the Rfam family "Bacterial small subunit ribosomal RNA", at positions 355 to 776 of the family's 1533-position model. The record is from RNAcentral.
UGGGGAAUUUUGCACAAUGGGCGCAAGCCUGAUGCAGCGACGCCGCGUGAGGGAUGAAGGCCUUCGGGUUGUAAACCUUUUUCGCUCAUGGUCAAGCCGCAGCUUUGGGUUGUGGUGAGGGUAGUGGGUAAAGAAGCGCCGGCUAACUACGUGCCAGCAGCCACGGUAAUACGUAGGGCGCGAGCGUUGUCCGGAAUUAUUGGGCGUAAAGGGCUUGUAGGCGGUUGGCCGCGUCUGCCGUGAAAUCCUCUGGCUUAACUGGGGGCGUGGGGUGGGUACGGGUUGGAUUGAGUGCGGUAAGGGAGACUGGAAUUCCUGGUGGAGGGGUGGAAUGCGCAGAUAUCAGGAGGAACACCGGUGGGGAAGGCGGGUCUCUGGGCCGUUACUGACGCUGGGGAGCGAAAGCGUGGGGAGCGAACAGG